GACGAACGCUGGCGGCGUGGAUUAGGCAUGCAAGUCGAACGGUAGGAUACCUUCGGGUAUCUGAGAGUGGCGAACGGGUGAGUAACACGUAGGUGAUCUACCCUCAAGAUUGGGACAACCCAGGGAAACUUGGGCUAAUACCGGAUGAAAGCAGCAGUGAUGUUGUUUGAAAGGUGGCGUAAGCUGCCGUUUGGGGAUGAGCCUGCGCUCUAUUAGUUAGUUGGCGGGGUAAAGGCCCACCAAGGCGAUGAUAGAUAGGCGGCCUUAACGGGUGGUCGCCCACACUGGGAUUGAGAUACGGCCCAGACUCCUACGGGAGGCAGCAGUCGAGAAUAGUCUACAAUGGCCGAAAGGCUGAUAGUGCGACGCCGCGUGAACGAAGAGGCCCUUCGGGGUGUAAAGUUCUUUUAUAUGUGAGCAGUGCUUUCUAUGUGAACAGCAUGGGGAGAGAGAUAUUAGCAUAUGAAUAAGCAACGGCUAACUCCGUG
Molecule: ribosomal RNA, 488 nt
Filed under: uncultured bacterium
Lineage: Bacteria
Description: bacterial SSU rRNA
Rfam family: Bacterial small subunit ribosomal RNA
Source: RNAcentral